UACUGGACCCUGAAUUGGAAAC
RNAcentral lists this microRNA (22 nucleotides) under human gammaherpesvirus 4 (Epstein-Barr virus). RNAcentral's name for it is "ebv-miR-BART9-5p". Its record names the gene ebv-miR-BART9-5p. The record is from miRBase by way of RNAcentral. Lineage: Duplodnaviria; Heunggongvirae; Peploviricota; Herviviricetes; Herpesvirales; Orthoherpesviridae.